This 461-nucleotide ribosomal RNA is filed under the name uncultured bacterium. RNAcentral describes it as "partial 16S ribosomal RNA". It matches the Rfam family "Bacterial small subunit ribosomal RNA", at positions 28 to 507 of the family's 1533-position model. The record is from RNAcentral.
GAUGAACGCUGACAGAAUGCUUAACACAUGCAAGUCAUUGGCGAAGCUGCGCUUGCGCAGUCUAGCCAAGGCGGACGGGUGAGUAACGCGUAAGGAACUUGCCCUGCAGACAGGGAUAACAGACGGAAACGACUGAUAACACCUGGUAUUGUCAGGCUGGCGCAUGCCGGCCUGAUGAAAGGAGACGCUGCAGGAGAGCCUUGCGUCCUAUUAGCUAGUUGGUGGGGUAACGGCCCACCAAGGCGAUGAUAGGUAGCCGGCCUGAGAGGGUGAACGGCCACAAGGGGACUGAGAUACGGCCCUUACUCCUACGGGAGGCAGCAGUGGGUAUAUUGGACAAUGGGGGCAACCCUGAUCCAGCAAUUCUGUGUGCACGAAGAAGGUUUUCGGAUUGUAAAGUGCUUUCAGCAGGGAAGAGGAAAGUGACGGUACCUGCAGAAGAAGCGACGGCUAAAUACGUG